RNAcentral lists this unclassified non-coding RNA (253 nucleotides) under uncultured Chitinophagales bacterium. RNAcentral's name for it is "contains 16S-23S intergenic spacer region". It matches the Rfam family "Bacterial small subunit ribosomal RNA", at positions 524 to 776 of the family's 1533-position model. The record is from RNAcentral. Lineage: Bacteria; Pseudomonadati; Bacteroidota; Chitinophagia; Chitinophagales.
UACGGAGGGUGCAAGCGUUAUCCGGAAUCACUGGGUUUAAAGGGUACGUAGGCGGAUCUGCAAGUCAGAAGUGAAAGCCCCGGGCUUAACCUGGGAACUGCUUUUGAUACUGUAGGUCUUGAGUACAGUUGAGGUGGGCGGAAUGAGUCGUGUAGCGGUGAAAUGCAUAGAUAUGACUCAGAACACCGAUUGCGAAGGCAGCUCACUAAACUGUUACUGACGCUGAGGUACGAAAGCGUGGGGAGCGAACAGG